This 253-nucleotide ribosomal RNA is filed under the name uncultured bacterium. RNAcentral describes it as "partial 16S ribosomal RNA". It matches the Rfam family "Bacterial small subunit ribosomal RNA", at positions 524 to 776 of the family's 1533-position model. The record is from RNAcentral.
UACGGGGGGGGCAAGCGUUGUUCGGAAUUACUGGGCGUAAAGGGCUCGUAGGUGGCCAACUAAGUCAGACGUGAAAUCCCUCGGCUUAACCGGGGGACUGCGUCUGAUACUGGAUGGCUUGAGUUCGGGAGAGGGAUGCGGAAUUCCAGGUGUAGCGGUGAAAUGCGUAGAUAUCUGGAGGAACACCGGUGGCGAAGGCGGCAUCCUGGACCGACACUGACACUGAGGAGCGAAAGCCAGGGGAGCAAACGGG